AGAGUUUGAUCCUGGCUCAGAUUGAACGCUGGCGGUAUGCUUAACACAUGCAAGUCGAACGCGAAAGUCCCUUCGGGGGCGAGUAGAGUGGCGAACGGGUGAGUAACACGUAGGAAUCUGCCCUAAAGUGGGGGACAACUCCGCGAAAGCGGAGCUAAUACCGCAUAAUUUCCAUGCUUUAGUAUGGAAAAAAGCAGGGGACCUUUCGGGGCCUUGUGCUUUAGGAUGAGCCUGCGUCGGAUUAGCUUGUUGGUGGGGUAAAAGCCUACCAAGGCCGCGAUCCGUAGCUGGUCUGAGAGGACGAUCAGCCACAUUGGGACUGAGACACGGCCCAAACUCCUACGGGAGGCAGCAGUGGGGAAUAUUGGACAAUGGGCGCAAGCCUGAUCCAGCAAUACCGCGUGUGUGAAGAAGGCCUGCGGGUUGUAAAGCACUUUCGGUGGGGAGGAAAUACCCAAGGUUAAUAUCCUUGGGGGUUGACGUUACCCACAGAAGAAGCACCGGCUAACUCUGUGCCAGCAGCCGCGGUAAUACAGAGGGUGCAAGCGUUAAUCGGAGUUACUGGGCGUAAAGCGUGCGUAGGCGGAAACUCAAGUCGGAUGUGAAAGCCCCGGGCUUAACCUGGGAACUGCAUUCGAUACUGAGCUUCUAGAGUAUGAUAGAGGGAAGUGGAAUUUCCGGUGUAGCGGUGAAAUGCGUAGAUAUCGGAAAGAACACCAGUGGCGAAGGCGACUUCCUGGAUCAAUACUGACGCUGAGGCACGAAAGCGUGGGGAGCAAACAGGAUUAGAGACCCUGGUAGUCCACGCCGUAAACGAUGAGAACUAGACGUUAGCCUGACUUUUAAAUCAACUUUCCCCUUUCCUUGUGUGAAGGAUAGGUUAGGGAAGAUGAUUUAAUGGUCAGGUUAGUGUCGAAGCUAACGCGUUAAGUUCUCCGCCUGGGGAGUACGGCCGCAAGGCUAAAACUCAAAGGAAUUGACGGGGGCCCGCACAAGCGGUGGAGCAUGUGGUUUAAUUCGAUGCUACGCGAAAAACCUUACCUACCCUUGAAAUCCUCGGAAUCCUCUAGAGAUAGAGGAGUGCCUUCGGGAAUCGAGUGACAGGUGCUGCAUGGCUGUCGUCAGCCCGUGUCGUGAGAUGUUGGGUUAAGUCCCGUAACGAGCGCAACCCUUGUCCUUAGUUGCCAGCCUUACCUUGAGUAAGAGGAACUCUAAGGAGACUGCCGGUGAUAAACCGGAGGAAGGUGGGGACGACGUCAAGUCAUCAUGGCCCUUACGGGUAGGGCUACACACAUGCUACAAUGGUCAGUACAGAGGGUUGCUAAGUCGCGAGAUGGAGCCAAUCCCAGAAAACUGUUCGUAGUCCGGAUUGGAGUCUGCAGUUCGACUCCAUGAAGUCGGAAUCGCUAGUAAUCGCGAAUCAGAACGUCGCGGUGAAUACGUUCCCGGGCCUUGUACACACCGCCCGUCACACCAUGGGAGUGAGUUGUACCAGAAGCGGGUAGGAUAACCUUCGGGAAUCCGCUCACCACGGUAUGGUUCAUGACUGGGGUGAAGUCGUAACAAGGUA
Molecule: ribosomal RNA, 1570 nt
Filed under: metagenome
Description: bacterial SSU rRNA
Rfam family: Bacterial small subunit ribosomal RNA
Source: RNAcentral